RNAcentral lists this ribosomal RNA (290 nucleotides) under Varanus albigularis (white-throated monitor). Its description in RNAcentral is "partial 12S ribosomal RNA". The record is from RNAcentral. Lineage: Eukaryota; Metazoa; Chordata; Lepidosauria; Squamata; Varanidae.
AAUUACCAGCACCAGCUAAAAACUCAAAAGACUUGACGGUGCUCCACCCUACCUAGAGGAGCCUGUCCUAUAAUCGAUACCCCACGAUCCACCCGACCCUUACUAGCCCACCAGCCUAUAUACCGCCGUCGAAAGCAUAUCCUGCAAAGGACUGGUAAUUGACUCAACAGUCUCCACUAAAACGUCAGGUCAAGGCAUAGCUCAUGUAACGGCAGAGAUGGGCUACAUUUUUUAUUUAUAAAAAACACGAAAAAUAAUAUGAAACUUAUUAUUUAAAGGCGGAUUUAGCA